RNAcentral lists this ribosomal RNA (465 nucleotides) under uncultured bacterium. Its description in RNAcentral is "partial 16S ribosomal RNA". It matches the Rfam family "Bacterial small subunit ribosomal RNA", at positions 28 to 507 of the family's 1533-position model. The record is from RNAcentral.
GAUGAACGCUGGCGGCGUGCUUAACACAUGCAAGUCGAACGGAAAGGCCCUGCUUGCAGGGUACUCGAGUGGCGAACGGGUGAGUAACACGUGGGUGAUCUGCCCUGCACUUCGGGAUAAGCCUGGGAAACUGGGUCUAAUACCGGAUAGGAGCCAUUUUUAGUGUGAUGGUUGGAAAGUUUUUUCGGUGUAGGAUGAGCUCGCGGCCUAUCAGCUUGUUGGUGGGGUAAUGGCCUACCGAGGCGGCGACGGGUAGCCGGCCUGAGAGGGUGGACGGCCACAUUGGGACUGAGAUACGGCCCAGACUCCUACGGGAGGCAGCAGUGGGGAAUAUUGCACAAUGGGCGCAAGCCUGAUGCAGCGACGCCGCGUGGGGGAUGACGGCCUUCGGGUUGUAAACUCCUUUCGCUAGGGACGAAGCUUUUUGUGACGGUACCUAGAUAAGAAGCACCGGCUAACUACGUG